CGAAAUGCGAUACGUAGGGUGAAUUGCAGAAUCCAGUGAAUCAUCGAAUCUUUGAACGCACAUUGCGCCCCUUGGUAUUCCAUGGGGCAUGCCUGUUCGAGCGUCAUUUACACCCUCAAGCUCUGCUUGGUGUUGGGCGUUUGUCCGCGCUUCUCGCGCGUGGACUCGCCCCAAAGGCAUUGGCAGCCCUGGCCGACGACCGCCCUCGCAGCACAAUUGCGCAGGGACCGGCGGCCGAGGCGCUCCAACAAGUCUCCUCUCCACGUUUGACCUCGGAUCAGGUAGGGAUACCCGCUGAACUUAAGC
This 306-nucleotide unclassified non-coding RNA is filed under the name plant metagenome. RNAcentral describes it as "partial contains 5.8S ribosomal RNA, internal transcribed spacer 2, and large subunit ribosomal RNA". The stretch from base 1 to 106 matches the Rfam family "5.8S ribosomal RNA", at positions 49 to 154 of the family's 154-position model. The record is from RNAcentral.